This 254-nucleotide ribosomal RNA is filed under the name uncultured bacterium. RNAcentral describes it as "partial 16S ribosomal RNA". It matches the Rfam family "Bacterial small subunit ribosomal RNA", at positions 524 to 776 of the family's 1533-position model. The record is from RNAcentral.
GACGAACCGUGCGAACGUUAUUCGGAAUCAUUGGGCUUAAAGCGCGUGUAGGCGGAUCCGUGCGUCUGUCGCUGAAAUCCCCCGGCUCAACCGGGGAACGGGCGUGGAUACGACGGGUCUGGAGGGGCAUAGGGGGACCUGGAACUUCCGGUGGAGCGGUGAAAUGCGUUGAGAUCGGAAGGAACGCCCGUGGCGAAAGCGAGGUCCUGGAUGCCUACUGACGCUGAGACGCGAAAGCCAGGGGAGCGAACGGG